This 5357-nucleotide long non-coding RNA is filed under the name Homo sapiens (human). Its description in RNAcentral is "non-protein coding lnc-GREM1-2:2". The record is from RNAcentral. Lineage: Eukaryota; Metazoa; Chordata; Mammalia; Primates; Hominidae.
AGAUCAAAGCCAAGGACCAGCAAGCCAAGCAAAGAUGGGUUCCAGCGGCUGGCUUCUCACAGGCAGCUUCGGGUCUACCGCUUUCUGCACCCUGCCCACCCACUCCCAGCAGAACUGGAACCCCUCUCCCUGAGGACAGGACAUUUUGAACCAUUCACGUAAAAGUCUCAACCACGGAGCGUCAGCACCAACCCACCCUUCAGGCGUUGGCAGCAAGGACAACUGUGUUCAGACUGUGGAAAUCAAUAAUGGCUUGCACCCAUCAGUGUCCUGGAAGUAGGAUUGAGAGAGAAGAUUCUCUUGAGAACCGAUUCUCUAGCCUCAGCUCACGACUUUUUCAAGGCUCAGUUUCUCAAUAAAUGGAAAAGCAAAUUCUCAUUAUUCUCCCAAUCUGUUUGAAAGCAGAGCUGGGGUGUUACAGUGAUUAACAGUUAUCAAGGCCCAUUAAAGUUGUUAAUUAUAGUGGCGUUCACUAUCUUUUUCCAUCAUUUUUAGCUAUUGAGACAGGGUCUUUGUGGAUCCCAAGGAUCAUGUGUUUGCAGUUCAAUUCAGCAGCCACUAGGUGGUAAUAUUGUUGAUUUUGGUAGCCAUGAAGUGUGAUCUAUCAGACCUGCCCUCUUAAAUGGAAUUAUGUACAUCCCUUAUAUCAUCAAGAUGUAAUUAUAGAAAUAAUUAUACUUUAAAAUAUGUAAAAUAUUUUAAUUGUGAAAAAUAUAAUCCCUUAUAAAAGUUCCAUGCAUAUCUGGUACCUUUUAAACUUAUGCUAAUUCUACUUACCUUUUAUUCUAAUUAUACACAUGACUAUCUUCAAAUUAUACAUAUAACAAAAAUAAAGUGUCUGGUCUUAACAGAAAUCCAGCUUAUAUUCAUUGCUUCUGGCUUAUUUUUAGAAGAGAUGAAAAAGAUGCACAUAACUUUCCUUCUAAAAUUAUGGCCGUCCUCUGUAGUAAAUAAUUAUUUGCCACUUGAACUUGGAACCACUGCUAUUCGCACCAUUGGGGUCCUGGGACUCAAAAGAAACCAAGUGGUUCUCUAAGUUAGUAGGAUGGCACAGUAACAACGCUGGGAUUGAGCUCACCCUGACCCUGAGUAAGUUACCAAGACCCUCAGACUCAGUUUUCUUAUCUGGAAAGUUAGGAAUGAAAAAAAUCAGUUUCAAAGGAUUGCUGCAAAAUUAAAUGAAGUGCUAUGCACCUGUUGAAGUCAAGUAUAGCAUGCUCCCCAAUCACCCCCCAACACACACACCAGAACUAACAAUUCAGGAAGGAAAUUUUCAGUAUAUUGGUGUUUCUCACAGAGGGUCAAAGUGGGACAAUAAGAAUGCCUUAAAUGUAACACAUUGUAUUUAUUAAAGCUUUAUAGUUUAUAUGGUGGUUUCCCAUGUAUGUUAUCUAAUUUCAUCUUCAUAAUGACACUGUGUACUAGAUAUUACUAUUCCCAUUUUACAGACAAGAAAAAAAAAAAGGCCCCAAGAACUUAAAAUCCUUUGCAAAAUCACAUAGAAAGGUUAAGUGGUGAACCCAGUGUUCAAACCUAGGUCUUCUGACUUCAAGCACAAAGCUCUCUCACUACAUUCAGAUCACUUAAAAACACAACAUUUUAUUGUGCCUAUCGUUAAUAAGACUGUAUUGCACACUUAAGAAUUUGUUAAAGAGGGUAGAAUUCAUGCUAAGUAUUCUUACUAAAAUAAUAAAAGUUGUAUGUAUGUAGAAAAAAGUAUUGCUUAAUCUAAUUAAACUAAACAGCUUCUGCACAACAAAAGAAACUAGCAUCAGAGUGAACAGGCAACCUACAGAAUGGGAGAAAAUUUUUGCAAUCUACCCAUAUGACAAAGGCCUAGUAUCCAGAAUCUAUAAGGAACUUAAAUUUACAAGAAACAACCCCAUCAAAAAGUGGGCAAAGGAGAUGAACAAACACUUCUCAAGACAUUUAUGCGGCCAACAAACAUGAAAAAAAGUUCAACAUCACUGAUCAUUAGAGAAAUGCAAAUCAAAACCACAAUGAGAUACCAUCUCCCACCAGUCAGAAUGGCGAUUAAAAAGUCAAGAAACAAUAGAUGCUGGUGAGGCUGCAGAGAAACAGGAAUGCUUUUACACUGUUGGUGGGAAUGUAAAUUAGUUCAACCAUUGUGGAAGACAGUGUGGCGAUUCCUCAAGGAUCUAGAACCAUAAAUGCCAUUUGACCCAGCAAUCCCAUUACUGGUAUAUACCCAAAGGAUUAUAAAUCAUUCUGCUAUAGAGAUGCAUGCACACGUAUGUUUAUUGCAGCACUAUUUACGAUAGCAAAGACUUGGAACCAACCCAAAUGCCCAUUGAUGAUAGACUGGAUAAAGAAAAUGUGGUACAUAUAUACCAUGGAAUACUAUGCAACCAUAAAAAAGGAUGAGUUCAUGUCCUCCUAGUUUUUCCAAAACAAACUAAUGAAAUGUGAAAAGGGUGAAUUCACAAGGGGCUAUACAUAGAAAGAAAGAGCCUGACUGACUUGGCUCCAUCCUCUACUUCUACCUGGGGACAUUUCCAAUCAUCAGAAAGAGGUUAAUGCAAUUGCAGCUCCAGAGUCUCAUCAAACUAUCUUGGAUUCUGCCAUGAUGAAAGGGAAAUGAGGAGAUUACCCAAUAACACCAUCAUGAGGUUGUCCUUAGUAAUACUUCAAUUCUUACAUGGUUGAGGGCCUACUCAAAGUUGUAAAAAUCAGUUUAAGGUAUAGUCCCCUGUUCUACCAAAGCAAGCAAAUAAACUGGUUCCAUAACGUUGAAAAGAUGUAGGGGUGUGUGUGUGUGUAUGUGUGUGUGUGUGUGUAAAUAUCUGCUGCUGCUCUAGGAAAGACCCUGUAAGAGUUAAUGAUACUUAUCUGACAAAUAAUAUCUUACCUCCAAACCCAACCACUACCAUCUCUCUUCCACUAGCAUGUAGUUCUGAGACAGUGUUUAAAAACAGAAGACAAGGCUGGGCGUGGUGGCUCGUGCCUGUAAUCCCAGCACUUUGGGAGGCUGGGGUGGGUGGAUCACUUGAGGUCAGGAGUUCCAGAAAAACAGGAGACAAACUCUUUAAAAAACUAAGAGUUAAGGCCGGGCGUGGUGGCUCAUGCCUGUAAUCCCAGCACUCUAGGAGGCCGAGGUGGGCGGAUCACAAGGUCAGGAGAUCGAGACCAUCCUGGCUAACGCAGUGAAACCCCGUCUCUACUAAAAAUUACAAAAACUUAGCCAGGCGUAGUGGCGGGCACCUGUAGUCCCAGCUACUCGGGAGGCUAAGGCAGAAGAAUGGCAUGAACCUGGGAGGCGGAGCGUGCAGUGAGCUGAGAUCGCGCCACUGCACUCCAGCCUGGGUGACAAAGCGAGACUCCAUCUCAAAAAAACAAACAAACAAAAAAAUUAGAGUUAAGGCCUAAAAUGCAAAUACCCACGGAAGAGGUCAGAUCCUGACAAUGAUCUCAAGAUAUAAAUGACUGAGAUUUGGUUCUAUGUUUGUGAUUAGGUUUAAAGGAUGGUCUGUGUCGGGGUAAUCUGAGAGAAGAUCUUUACUCUCUCAUUUUGGCAUAUUCAUAAAAGUGUACAUUGAAGCACCUGUGUAAUGAAGAGCCCAAAUGAAAUAAAGAACAGGAUUAUGGCAAUAAGAAAAAAAAUAUGAGGAACAGGUAAAACACCCUACAUAUUAGAGGCCUCUUCUUGACCAUAAUGUAAAUUAGGGUUCAUGUUACAUACCUAAUAAUAACAUCACAAAAGUGUGACGCCUGAAACUGAAGUGAUGAUGGAAGCAUGAGCAAAAUAAGUGAAGUCAAUCCAAGUCAAGGAGAAAGAACGGAGGGGUUCCAGCAGGUUCAUGUGUGUGCACGUGUGUGUGCGUGCACACGUGUGUGUGUAUUAGACUGUCUUGAGCUCUCAAUGCCUUUAAACAUUUCCUUGCAUUUUCUCAUUGACUGGGAGGCUUCCAUUAGAUAGAGCCAUCUAGAGCGAUGUUGAAGAAGGCAGCCAUAGGAAACAAACCAAGGUACUAGCUCAUAGAUCUUGCUUGAUAAGGGACCUUCAGAUUUCCUUUUAAGUUGUCCAGUUCAGCACCCAAUGAAAGUAAUGAGACUGUGAGUAAGACCAUUUGGUUUCCAAUUCUAGGUUCAGGUGGCUAAGGGACCCCAGUUGGUAUAAUGAUGGAGAAGCAAUGAAUAGGAAGCAGAAUCUUAGGGAAAAAUGUGAAGUGCGAAGUACUAUAGAAAAUUGUUUUUCAAAAAAAAUUUGUUUACUAUUUUAAGAGGUACUCACUGGUUAAAACACCCAAAUUUAUAACAAAUCUGCAUACGCCUAUGAACCUCAUCUGCCUAUUUUCUACCUGCUGCAGCAAUGAACCUGUUUGAUUAGUUUUAGGAGUAAUAGUCUAAAUAUUUAACAAUAACAUAGGUACUAACUAGCAGAACAGGCAACCUGUAUGGGUGUUAUGGUGAGGACCAGCUGAAUAUCAGUCUUGGGUUAGUUCUCUUUUGUUUUUUUUUUUUUUUUUUUUUUCAGAGACAGAGUCUCACUCUGUCACCCAUGCUGGAGUGCAGUGGCGCAAUCUCGGCUCACUGCAAGCUCUGCCUCCCGGGUUCAUGCCAUUCUCCUGCCUCAGCCUGUUGAGUAGCUGGGACUACAGGCGCUUGUCACCACGCUCAGCUAAUUUUUUUUUUUUUUGUAUUUUUAGUAGACACGGGGUUUCAUCGUGUUAGCCAGGAUGGUCUCGGUCUCCUGACCUCGUGAUCUGCCCGCCUCGGCCUCCCAAAGUGCUGUGAUUAUAGGCGUGAGCCACCGCGCCCGGCCAGUCUUAGGUUAAUUCUUAUUUGUUCUCACUGUUAGGUAGUAUUCAUUUUUUGCUUCAUUUUUAUCUGAAUGAUAAAAUAAUAUACCUAAUAAUAACAUAACUACUCUUCUGACCCUUGCUUUUAUCCACUUAAACAUAUACAUUAGGGAUCCUCCAGGUCAAUACAUACAGACUUUUUUUUUAAAAAAGAUGCUUAGUAUUCCAAUGUAUGGAAAUACCAUAAUUUCACAACUCCAUUACUGGAUAGUCAUUAGAAACCGACUUCGGGGGAAAACAUACGCUCUUUGCAGGAAUUUCUGGGAAAAAAAAUCCCCUCUAGCCCUUUUAGAUAAAAGCCUACCUAAUAGACCUGUGAUAAAAUAGCUUUCUUUUCUUUAUUUUUUUUUUGGAGGAGUCUCACUGUGGCCCAGGCUGCAGUGCAGUGGUAUGAUCUCAGCUCACUGCAACCUUUGCUUCCUGGGUUCAAGCGAUUCUCCUGUCUCAGCCUCCAGAGCAGCUGGGAUUACAGGCGCACACCACCAUGUCCGGCUAAUUUUUGUAUUUUUAGUAGAGAUGGGGUUUCGCCAUGUUGGC